GUUCCCUGCCCCCGAUCCUCUCUCAUCCCCAUCUUUUCCUUUCUUCUUCAUUCCGCCGACGCCACCAGCCCCAACUCAGAUCCCGGUCAACUCCCUCCCUCCCCACGGGCCACGGCUACCGUCCGGCUCGCCGCUCCUCUCUCACUUCCACCGCCGCUGCACCAUUCCCCUGCAUCCAGCGUCGCUGCUUUGCCCGUUGGUCCCCCUAUCCCCCAGAUCAAGCGCACAGCAACAGCAGGGAGAGGACGGCAGUGGGGGAGUGGCGCGAGAGCAAGACGAGGUGGACCGCCGCCAUCUCCGCCCCUUCGCAAAUCCCCACGAGACAUCUCCCUCUCUUCUACUUGCCUCCAGCGUCUCAUGUGAACUCCUCAGGCCCGCCACGGCUGUGCCGCAAUCCACAGCGCGUAAAGGUCAAGGACUGGCGGUCGGCGCCUCCUCGUCUUGGCAGCCGUCUUCGCCGUGAUGGAUGCCUCUGGGUCAGCCAAGGCCCUCUAGUCUGCACUGCAGCACCAACAGAUGUGUUCCCUCCUCAUCUGCAGCCUCCCCUAUGUAUCUGUGACCUGACCGUGAUUUUGAUUUUGUCCCCCCAUGUGCCUUGCUGAAUCUGUACCUUCCAUGAAAAUUAAGUAUUUCACGAUGCAUGUGCUCACCAGGAGGAAGGAGAAGAAGAGGGGUGACAACAUGGCACUCAUAUUCGCUGGCCUUCAAGCUUUUGUGGACGACACUACUACGUUGCUUGCUGAUUGCGUAUCGGUGAAUGUUCUCUUGAUUUGCGAAAGCUAGGCCCCGUUGUUGUCCAUGACAAGCCAUUUUACUGUGAAAUCGUCAUAAUGUCAAGCAGUCGAUCAGCGUCGGUUUCAAAGAAGUGAUGUUCCUGUCUUGUUGGGUCAAGACAAGCUGGUAGGCAGCAAUGGUCGGCCGGUCAAUGACUCGGGGAGGUGAAUGAGGAGCUAGAUCAGCAACCUCGGCAACAUACUGUGGUGGAUGAAGAAGAUUUUCGUGGCAACAAAGAGUUCAAAGAAAAUGCGUUUCGUUUGCCUCCACAAAAAUGCUCAUAUGCAAACUUGUAAAUUUGGCUCCAUGAUGUCUGAUAAAGUGGUGCUGCAAUUUUCAGUUUUAAAGGCUAAAUAUUUGAUGGUUUUAGAAGACGUUGUGCUUAUUAUAAUGUUGUCGUAUACAUGUGUGUGUGCCUAUACGAUGUAUGAGUCGUCUAUUUUUCUUGCUGGAAAAAAUUAACUAGUUUUAAAAA
Molecule: long non-coding RNA, 1249 nt
Organism: Brachypodium distachyon (stiff brome)
Lineage: Eukaryota; Viridiplantae; Streptophyta; Magnoliopsida; Poales; Poaceae
Exons: 4
Source: RefSeq, a predicted model, not a curated record